RNAcentral lists this ribosomal RNA (248 nucleotides) under uncultured bacterium. RNAcentral's name for it is "partial 16S ribosomal RNA". It matches the Rfam family "Bacterial small subunit ribosomal RNA", at positions 335 to 599 of the family's 1533-position model. The record is from RNAcentral.
AUGCCUACGGGAGGCAGCAGUGGGGAAUAUUGCACAAUGGGGGAAACCCUGAUGCAGCAACGCCGCGUGAGUGAAGAAGGUUUUCGGAUUGUAAAGCACUGUUAGCAGGGAAGAGGAAGGACGGUACCUGCAGAGGAAGCCACGGCUAACUACGUGCAAGCAGCCGCGGUAAUACGUAGGUGGCAAGCGUUGUUCGGAAUAACUGGGCGCAAAGGACGCGUAGGCGGUAAAUCAAGGUAUAUGUUAAA